CAGCCGCCGCGGUAAUACAGAGGGUGCGAGCGUUAAUCGGAAUUACUGGGCGUAAAGCGCGCGUAGACGGUUUUGUAAGUCAGAUGUGAAAUCCCUGGGCUCGACCUGGGAACUGCAUUUGAUACUGCAUGGCUAGAGUAUCGAAGAGGGAAGUGGAAUUUCCGGUGUAGCGGUGAAAUGCGUAGAUAUCGGAAGGAACACCAGUGGCGAAGGCGACUUCCUGGUCGAAUACUGACGUUCAUGUGCGAAAGCGUGGGGAGCAAACAGGAUUAGAUACCCGUGUAGUCCCUGUCUCUUAUAC
This 301-nucleotide ribosomal RNA is filed under the name uncultured bacterium. RNAcentral describes it as "partial 16S ribosomal RNA". It matches the Rfam family "Bacterial small subunit ribosomal RNA", at positions 509 to 807 of the family's 1533-position model. The record is from RNAcentral.